This 430-nucleotide ribosomal RNA is filed under the name uncultured bacterium. RNAcentral's name for it is "partial 16S ribosomal RNA". It matches the Rfam family "Bacterial small subunit ribosomal RNA", at positions 338 to 795 of the family's 1533-position model. The record is from RNAcentral.
CCUACGGGGGCGCAGUGGGGAAUAUUGGACAAUGGGCGAAAGCCUGAUCCAGCCAUGCCGCGUGAGUGAAGAAGGCCUUAGGGUUGUAAAGCUCUUUCAGCGGGGAAGCGGUACCCGCAGAAGAAGUCCCGGCUAACUUCGUGCCAGCAGCCGCGGUAAUACUAAGGGGACUAGCGUUGUUCGGAAUUACUGGGCGUAAAGCGCGCGUAGGCGGAUCGCUAAGUCAGGGGUGAAAUCCCGAGGCUCAACCUUGGAACUGCCUUUGAUACUGACGAUCUGGAGAUCGGGAGAGGUGAGUGGAAUUCCGAGUGUAGAGGUGAAAUUCGUAGAUAUUCGGAGGAACACCAGAAGCGAAGGCGGCUCACUGGCCCGAACUGACGCUGAGGCGCGAAAGCGUGGGGAGCAAACAGGAUUAGAUACCCUGGUAGUC